This is a long non-coding RNA of Gadus macrocephalus (Pacific cod), 416 nucleotides long. RefSeq lists it as uncharacterized. The record is from RefSeq and is a predicted model, not a curated record. The transcript is spliced from 3 exons. Lineage: Eukaryota; Metazoa; Chordata; Actinopteri; Gadiformes; Gadidae.
CCAAAAAGAUGGAGAAGGGUCCAGCUGCAGGCUUGGGCGUUCCCGUCAUGACACAAAAACGCCCAUCGGGCGUUCCCGUCAUGACACAAAAACGCCCAUCAGGCGUUCCUGUAGCGUUUCAAUCAAUCAAGAAGAGGUGAGUGAGUUUCGCAAGGUAUGCUACCCUUCCUUUUUUGGCGGUUUUACCUCGUAGUAACUUUCCAGAAAAACGAAAGGGUUAUGAUGAGAGAUUAUGUCAUACCCUGGCACAUGCUUUGUCCAAUGGACCAUGGAAGGGACUUUACUUGGCUGACGAGGACGCACCUCACCAGUAUCAGAGCAACAGCUGUGGGGUGUUUAUGCUGAUGGUGAGAUGCAUUAUUUUCAGAAAUGAUGACUGAUGACUAGUUUGUAAAAAACAAUUUCAGUACGCAAUG